AGAGUUUGAUCAUGGCUCAGGAUGAACGCUAGCGGCAGGCCUAAUACAUGCAAGUCGAACGGUGUCGCAAGACACAGUGGCGCACGGGUGCGUAACGCGUAUGCAACUUACCUGUUAGCGGGGCAUAGCCCGGGGAAACCCGGAUUAAUACCGCAUAAGAUGAUUGAAUGGCAUCAUUUGAUCAUGAAACAUUUAUGGCUAACAGAUGGGCAUGCGUAAGAUUAGCUAGUUGGUGAGGUAACGGCUCACCAAGGCGACGAUCUCUAGAUGGUCUGAGAGGAUGAUCAUCCAGACUGGGACUGAGACACGGCCCAGACUCCUACGGGAGGCAGCAGUAAGGAAUCUUCCGCAAUGGGCGAAAGCCUGACGGAGCAAUGCCGCGUGGAGGAAGACGGCCUUCGGGUUGUAAACUCCUUUUAUAUGGGACGAACACUGACGGUACCAUAUGAAUAAGAGGUGGCUAACUAUGUGCCAGCAGCCGCGGUAAUACAUAGACCUCAAGCGUUAUCCGGAUUUACUGGGCGUAAAGCGUACGUAGGUGUCUUUUUAAGUCUUCGGUGAAAUCUCCGGGCCCAACUCGGAAACUGUCGAAGAUACUGGAAGGAUUGAGUGUGGUAGAGGCAGACGGAAUUCUAGGUGUAGCGGUAAAAUGCGUAGAUAUCUAGAAGAACACCAGUGGCGAAGGCGGUCUGCUGGACCACUACUGACGCUGAGGUACGAAAGCGUGGGGAGCGAACGGGAUUAGAUACCCCAGUAGUCC
This 760-nucleotide ribosomal RNA is filed under the name uncultured soil bacterium. RNAcentral describes it as "bacterial SSU rRNA". It matches the Rfam family "Bacterial small subunit ribosomal RNA", at positions 8 to 796 of the family's 1533-position model. The record is from RNAcentral.